This 861-nucleotide ribosomal RNA is filed under the name Bacillus licheniformis. RNAcentral describes it as "bacterial SSU rRNA". It matches the Rfam family "Bacterial small subunit ribosomal RNA", at positions 56 to 896 of the family's 1533-position model. Lineage: Bacteria; Bacillati; Bacillota; Bacilli; Caryophanales; Bacillaceae. The record is from RNAcentral.
UGCAAAGUCGAGCGGACAGAUGGGAGCUUGCUCCCUGAUGUUAGCGGCGGACGGGUGAKUAACACGUGGGUAACCUGCCUGUAAGACUGGGAUAACUCCGGGAAACCGGGGCUAAUACCGGAUGCUUGAUUGAACCGCAUGGUUCAAUUAUAAAAGGUGGCUUUUAGCUACCACUUACAGAUGGACCCGCGGCGCAUUAGCUAGUUGGUGAGGUAACGGCUCACCAAGGCRACGAUGCGUAGCCGACCUGAGAGGGUGAUCGGCCACACUGGGACUGAGACACGGCCCAGACUCCUACGGGAGGCAGCAGUAGGGAAUCUUCCGCAAUGGACGAAAGUCUGACGGAGCAACGCCGCGUGAGUGAUGAAGGUUUUCGGAUCGUAAAACUCUGUUGUUAGGGAAGAACAAGUACCGUUCGAAUAGGGCGGUACCUUGACGGUACCUAACCAGAAAGCCACGGCUAACUACGUGCCAGCAGCCGCGGUAAUACGUAGGUGGCAAGCGUUGUCCGGAAUUAUUGGGCGUAAAGCGCGCGCAGGCGGUUUCUUAAGUCUGAUGUGAAAGCCCCCGGCUCAACCGGGGAGGGUCAUUGGAAACUGGGGAACUUGAGUGCAGAAGAGGAGAGUGGAAUUCCACGUGUAGCGGUGAAAUGCGUAGAGAUGUGGAGGAACACCAGUGGCGAAGGCGACUCUCUGGUCUGUAACUGACGCUGAGGCGCGAAAGCGUGGGGAGCGAACAGGAUUAGAUACCCUGGUAGUCCACGCCGUAAACGAUGAGUGCUAAGUGUUAGAGGGUUUCCGCCCUUUAGUGCUGCAGCAAACGCAUUAAGCACUCCGCCUGGGGAGUACGGUCGCAAGACUG